UGAUAGCUGUGAAGCGUGAGGUUGCCGCCCCCGGCAAAGUCAUAAGUGAGGGCGGGUUUUCCGUGGAGCGAAUGUCAAGUUAGGAAACUGGCGACAA
This 97-nucleotide non-coding RNA is filed under the name Lachnoclostridium phocaeense. Its description in RNAcentral is "S10-Clostridia ribosomal protein leader". It matches the Rfam family "S10-Clostridia ribosomal protein leader". RNAcentral also lists the same sequence under 1 other name. The record is from RNAcentral. Lineage: Bacteria; Bacillati; Bacillota; Clostridia; Lachnospirales; Lachnospiraceae.